AUUCCAGCUCCAAUAGCGUAUAUUAAAGUUGUUGCAGUUAGAACGCUCGUAGUCGGAUUUCGGGGCGUUCCGACCGGUCUGCCGAUGGGUACGCACUGGUCGGCGCGUCCUUCCUUCCAGAGACCGUGCCUACUCUUAACUGAGCGGGGGCGGGAGACGGAUCGUUUACUUUGAAAAAAUCAGAGUGUUUCAAGCAGGCAGGUCGCUCUUGCAUGGAUUAGCAUGGGAUAAUGAAAUAGGACUUUGGUGCUAUUUUGUUGGUUUCGAACACCGAAGUAAUGAUUAACAGGGACAGUCAGGGGCACUCGUAUUCCGCCGAGAGAGGUGAAAUUCUCAGACCAGCGGAAGACGAACUACUGCGGAAGCAUUUGCCAGGGAUGUUUUCAUUA
This 389-nucleotide ribosomal RNA is filed under the name Chrysochromulina sp. Its description in RNAcentral is "partial small subunit ribosomal RNA". It matches the Rfam family "Eukaryotic small subunit ribosomal RNA", at positions 582 to 975 of the family's 1831-position model. Lineage: Eukaryota; Haptophyta; Prymnesiales; Chrysochromulinaceae. The record is from RNAcentral.